Gorilla gorilla gorilla (western lowland gorilla) is the source of this 1232-nucleotide long non-coding RNA. RefSeq lists it as uncharacterized. The record is from RefSeq and is a predicted model, not a curated record. The transcript is spliced from 2 exons. NCBI's taxonomy places the organism in Eukaryota, Metazoa, Chordata, Mammalia, Primates, Hominidae.
ACCUUCUCCGCCCGCUCUGCACUCGGGAAGGGGACUGUGAGCGGCAGCUGCGCGCGGGGCUCUUCGAUCAACCCUCACCCCGCUGGAUUACGCCUCCCGCCAGCCCAGCUCUGGGACCCCUGGGUCUCCUCUGCUGGGACCAGACCUGCCUGCGGGUAAAUUCUUAAGAGCAGCCCGCGCAGAAUCUAUCCCAAGGAGACCGUCCAUUUUUGCUGGGGCAAUCAGGGAACUGCGCCUGCGGAUGGCUGCCCUCGGGGGACCAUUCGCCGGGGCGGCGCGCCGCUGGGGACUCGGCGUGAACCGGGCAGCGGGCGCGCGGUCUCGGAGCCCAGCCCCAGCGGCAGGCGCCAGGAGCCGCAACGCUAGGCAGGGCUGGCGCCGCUUCCUCCCGGGCACCCGCCGCUCUGUCGCUCCGGGCGCCCAGGCUCACCGGGCAUUUCUAAAUUGUAAAAAGUUUUUAUCAGAUGGUAUGGGCUGAGCAACGCUGGGAUUGGAAAGUAAAACAAGAAACUAUCACCCACCCCCUCCCCCGCCCGCUGAUUUGAAUGCUUAUUAGAUGGACCCUGGAUUCUAGUCUUGGUGUACACGCCCACGUGUAAGAGGAAGCAACCACAGCUCUCUAGACACACUCAUGCCGCCAAUCUCAUGAAAUAAGAGAGACAGCUUUCUCCAUGUUGCCCAGGCUGGUGUGCAUUCUUCGCUUCAGCCAGGAGAGCUCCCUUGGAACUGGGUGCUCCUGCUUGGGAAAAAGGUGGACAACAGGAGGGCUGCCCUACUGAACUCCUGUGGUUCAUAGACCAUGAUGUAGAGAAGGUUUCAUACACCUCUUCUUGGCUCUCGCAUAUUGUUACAAUCAUUGUAUUUAACCUAGAAUUAAGUUGAGAGAACUGUAUGGACCCAUCAUCCAACUUCAACAAUUUUCAACUAUGGUUAAUAUUAUUCGGUCUAUUGCCACACCAGAUUAUUAGUUCUUUCUCCCUGGAUUAUUUUGAUGCAAUUUCUGGACAUCAUAUUAUUUCAUCAGUUAAUAUUUUAGUAUACAUCUUUAGAAGAUAAAUAUCACUAAGUAUUUUAGUAUGUAUAUCUAACAAAACCUCCAUUUAUAAAACUACAAACCAAAUAUAUCAGACCUAGCCCCCCGAGUUUUUUAUAUUAUCAACUAUUCAGUGUUCAGAUUUUCCUGAUUGUCUCAUAAUAUUAAACAUUUGUUUUUGUUUGAAUCAAGAUCUAAA